This 3891-nucleotide long non-coding RNA is filed under the name Olea europaea (common olive). Its description in RNAcentral is "long non-coding RNA (OEUR_LNC000093)". Lineage: Eukaryota; Viridiplantae; Streptophyta; Magnoliopsida; Lamiales; Oleaceae. The record is from RNAcentral.
CAGUAAACAUCAACCAUCCUCUGUGACGAAAUAUUCUACAUGUUAGUAACAUGACUGUCGUAUCUUGUUGCUACAUUUUAAAAUGGGCAAAAGAAAAAACAUAGAGAUAACUUCUGAUGGUCGCUUCACUUUUUGGAGGUCAAUAUUCGUUUUGGAUGGGAAAAAGAUCACAACACUAAAGUCAAAAUGAUUAUUUGCAACAAGAGAUGAUUUCAAUAUCUCUAUUUCUUUCCCCUUAAGCUACAUGUAAAAGCUAUAGCAAUAUGUUGUUCUCUUAACGUCCAAAUGCAACACACACUUGCACUGGUUUUAAGGAGAACAUUAUUAUAGCUUCACAUAACAUAGUCACAUGAUUGAGUAAAAGAUCACGCAACAUAUACAGUGUGAAGCCACGGGUUCUACGUGUAGCUUCAUAAAAAAAAAAAUUUAAAGUAAAAUUGAGAAUUAUAAAUAACGAAAUGCCAGAUAAGAAAAAUUUGAGAUUGUCCUGCCAAGAUACCAGUUGGCUGCUUCAGGACUGAAAAACUUAUUAAAUAGGUAUUUUGAAAUAAAAUAAGGGUAGAGGAAAAUCCUCAGUUUGAAUCUAGGAAGCACCGACACGCUCCCGGCAACGACGUACCGGUGUCCGAUCGCGUCCGACACGUCGCCGACGCGUGUCGGAGUCACGGAGCCGUGUGGCUUUGGUGGGCUGAAAAAAAGAAACCAGUGGAAAGAAAGAAGAAAAAAGAGAAGAAGAAGAAGAAGAAGAAGAAGAGGAAGAGGAAGAAGAAGAACCUGUUACCUGUUGAUUGUCAGGCAUAGACAGAAAGAAAGAGAGAAGAGACGGCUGAAAUGAAAUGAAAAGUCAUGAUUUAUCAAAGCAAAUUUCAAUUUGUGGGCCCACCACUGUAAAUUUUCUCCUUUUGUACACGUUUUGUAUCUUUUCAAUGGAUGUAAUCCUUUAUAAAAUAAUGUACAAUACUUUAUUUGAUCAAUUUGUACCAUUUUACCCUUCAACAACAAAUCAAACUUAUAUAACAACACAAACAUUUUCUUCCUCAGUCAGUAACUUGCGAAAAUUUCAGAACAUCCAAGUAUUUUUUUUGUUAUUUCAUCUUUUUCAAAAAUUUCAUCAAUCCACAUUUGAAGAAUCAUUUGCAAGAUAAAGAAGAAGAUAUUUUUUCAAGUUUCGGGUAAUAUCACUCCUAUUUUACUUAAGUAUUUGAAAUUAUUUUUCUUUUGAAGUUAUGAGUGAUAAUGCUAUGGAUGAUGAUUUGUCUAAACCUCUUUGGAAAUAUGUUACAAAACUUGAUAAAUUUAAUGAAAAGGGUGGUAACAUUAUUUGGCAAUGUAAUUUUUGUAAUGCAACUAAGACAAGUUCUUACACAAGAGUGAAGGCACAUUUGUUAAAAUUACAAGGCUAUGGAAUUGAGGCUUGUGUAAAAGUAACUAUGAAAGAUAUAUGUGAAAUGCAAAAAAUGGAAGAUGAAGCCAAGUUGAGAAUGCAAACUAAGGCGGGGAAAAGAGUGCCAUUGCCAUCGAAUAAUAUGGGUUCUAAGGAUUGUUAUGUUUUGGAGGAAAGGAAAAGAAAGAAUAGUGCAAUAGAAAAUGCUUUUAAUGUGACAACACGUGACCAAUUGGAUUCCGAAAUUGCUAAAAUGUUUUAUUCAAGUGGUUUGCCUUUUACUCUUGCAAGAAAUCCUUAUUACAUUAGUUCUUAUACUCUUGCUUCCAAUAGUCGAAUUUCGGGAUAUUUGCCUCCCGGUUACAACAAGUUGAGAACUACUCUUCUUCAAAAAGAGAAAAAAAAUGUGGAAAGAUUAUUAAAUCCAAUUAAAGGCACAUGGGCGGAAAAAGGAGUUACCAUUGUGAGUGAUGGAUGGAGUGAUCCACAAAGAAGGCCACUAAUUAAUUUUAUGGCGGUGACCGAGAGUGGACCAAUGUUUUUAAAAGCGGUUGAUUGUUUCGGUGAAACAAAAGAUAAAUAUUUUAUUGCUUACUUGAUGAAGGAGGUUAUAAAUGAAAUUGGUCAUCAAAAGGUGGUUCAAGUAAUAACCGAUAAUGCUCCAAAUUGCAAAGGUGCCGGACAAAUAAUUGAAUUGGAGUAUCCUCAUAUUUUUUGGACACCAUGUGUUGUACACACACUAAAUCUUGCUUUGAAGAACAUUUGUGCCGCAAAGAAUGUUGAAAAUAAUUUGAUUACAUAUGAGGAAUGCAAUUGGAUUACUAAUCUUCAUGAUGAUGUAAUGAUUAUAAAAAAUUUUAUCAUGAACCAUUCCAUGAGACUAGAAUGUUUAAUGAAUUUGUGCCUUUGAAGUUGCUUUCCGUAGCAGAGACACGAUUUGCUUCUAUUAUUGUCAUGUUAAAAAGAUUUAAGCUUAUUCGAUGUGGUCUUCAAGCUUUGGUUAUUAGUGAAAAAUGGUCACUUUAUCGAGAAGAUGACAUGAAGAAGGCAAGGUUUGUAAAAUUGAAAGUGUUUGAUGAUCUUUGGUGGGACUCUAUAAGUUAUGUUCUUUCCUUCACUUCUCCCAUUUAUGACAUGCUUAGAUUUUGUGAUAUGGAUAAACCUUGCCUUCACUUGGUUUACGACAUGUGGGAUACAAUCAUUGAGAAAGUGAGAGGAAUAAUUUAUAGGAAUGAGAAAAAAGUUCAACAAGAGGAAUCAUCAUUCUACAAUGUUGUUCAUCGGAUACUUGUAGAUCGUUGGAACAAAAAUAACACUCCACUUCAUUGUUUGUCUCAUUCCCUAAAUCCAAGGUAAUUUUUAAAUUUAAUUCAUACAUUUAAUGUUUAUUUACAUUAUCAUAAUAUUUAAUAUGUUUAGUUAGUUAUUGAAUGAAUUGUCAUUUUUUUAUUUUUUUCCUCUUGUUUAGGUACUAUAGCGAGGAAUGGCUUAAUGAGGAUCCCACUCGACUUGCUCCACAUAGAAAUGUAGAGAUUUCAAGAGAAAGAAUAAAAUGUUUUAAGAGGUACUUGUCAAAUGAAGAGCGUAUUAUGGUGAAUAAGGAGUAUGCCAAAUUCUCAACUAUGGAAGAUGACUUUGGUGAUUUUGAAUCCAUCCAUGAUCGUUACCGCUUGGACCCAAAGACUUGGUGGGUUAUUUAUGGUGCUUGCACACCUAUGCUUCAAAGUUAUGCUUUGAGAUUAUUGGGGCAACCAUCUUCUUCAUCGUGUUGUGAGCGAAAUUGGAGUACUUAUUCCUUUUUGCACUCUCUUAAACGGAAUAAGCUAACUCCAAAACGUGCGGAAGAUUUGGUUUUUGUCCAUAGCAAUCUUCGUCUCUUGUCAAGGAGGAGUGCGCAAUACUCACAAGGAGAGACUAAAAUGUGGGAUAUCGGUGGAGAUGCAUUUGAUACAUUUGAAGAUAUUGGUGUGCUUGAAGUCGCUAAUUUAUCUCUCGACGAACCGGAAUUGGAGGCGAUGGUAUUUGCUGAUGGAGAUGAAGAUUUUGAAGAGAUUCAAGAUGAAUGAUGUAAUUAAUUUCAUUUUUACUUUUUGAACUUAUGUCAUUAAGAAACAUUGAUGAAUUUAAUGUCAAGUUUGAUUUCUAUUUAUCAUUAUAUAUUGCGGUGUCCGUGUCGGUGCUUCUUAGGUUUGAAUCUUCUCAAGGAGAGAAAAGAAAGGAAGUACAAGAAUGAAAUGCAUUCCCCCACAAUCACACUGCUCCUUCCUUAAGUUAGAAAAGUAUAAGGGGGAAUACGAAGGAAUAAGAAAAAAAGAUAAUGUUAAAAUAAUUUUCUCCUUUUCCGUACAGGUGCUGCCAAGUGCAGUCUUCCUGCCUGUUAAUCUGAAAAAGAAAAUGAGGUUCCUUUUUCUUGAUUCUCAGCUCUCUCUUUAUGCCUGUGUACGUUGAUAAAGAAGGAUAAUGAUUUGUUUCCACUUCUCCUAUUCAGAUAUACAUCUUAAAAUUUU